RNAcentral lists this ribosomal RNA (785 nucleotides) under uncultured bacterium. RNAcentral describes it as "bacterial SSU rRNA". It matches the Rfam family "Bacterial small subunit ribosomal RNA", at positions 8 to 798 of the family's 1533-position model. The record is from RNAcentral.
AGAGUUUGAUCCUGGCUCAGGACGAACGCUGGCGGCGUGCUUAACACAUGCAAGUCGAACGGUAAGGCCCUUCGGGGUACACGAGUGGCGAACGGGUGAGUAACACGUGGGUAAUCUGCCCUGCACAUCGGGAUAAGCCUGGGAAACUGGGUCUAAUACCGAAUAGGACCACAGGACACAUGUCCUGUGGUGGAAAGCUUUUGCGGUGUGGGAUGGGCCCGCGGCCUAUCAGCUUGUUGGUGGGGUGAUGGCCUACCAAGGCGACGACGGGUAGCCGGCCUGAGAGGGUGUCCGGCCACACUGGGACUGAGAUACGGCCCAGACUCCUACGGGAGGCAGCAGUGGGGAAUAUUGCACAAUGGGCGAAAGCCUGAUGCAGCGACGCCGCGUGGGGGAUGACGGCCUUCGGGUUGUAAACCUCUUUCACCAUCGACGAAGGUCCGGGUUUUCUCGGGCUGACGGUAGGUGGAGAAGAAGCACCGGCCAACUACGUGCCAGCAGCCGCGGUAAUACGUAGGGUGCGAGCGUUGUCCGGAAUUACUGGGCGUAAAGAGCUCGUAGGUGGUUCGUCGCGUUGUUCGUGAAAUCUCACGGCUUAACUGUGAGCGUGCGGGCGAUACGGGCAGACUUGAGUACUGCAGGGGAGACUGGAAUUCCUGGUGUAGCGGUGGAAUGCGCAGAUAUCAGGAGGAACACCGGUGGCGAAGGCGGGUCUCUGGGCAGUAACUGACGCUGAGGAGCGAAAGCGUGGGGAGCGAACAGGAUUAGAUACCCUGGUAGUCCAA